AAUAGAUACCCAGGUAGUCCAUGCCGUAAACGUUGGGCACUAGGUGUGGGGGACAUUCCACGUUUUCCGCGCCGUAGCUAACGCAUUAAGUGCCCCGCCUGGGGAGUACGGCCGCAAGGCUAAAACUCAAAGGAAUUGACGGGGGCCCGCACAAGCGGCGGAGCAUGCGGAUUAAUUCGAUGCAACGCGAAGAACCUUACCAAGGCUUGACAUGAACCGGACCGCUGCAGAAAUGUGGUUUCCCCUUUGGGGCUGGUUUACAGGUGGUGCAUGGUUGUCGUCAGCUCGUGUCGUGAGAUGUUGGGUUAAGUCCCGCAACGAGCGCAACCCUCGUUCUAUGUUGCCAGCACGUGAUGGUGGGGACUCAUAGGAGACUGCCGGGGUCAACUCGGAGGAAGGUGGGGACGACGUCAAAGUCAUCAUGCCCCUUAUGUCUUGGGCUUCACGCAUGCUACAAUGGCCGGUACAAAGGGUUGCGAUACUGUGAGGUGGAGCUAAUCCCAAAAAGCCGGUCUCAGUUCGGAUUGGGGUCUGCAACUCGACCCC
RNAcentral lists this ribosomal RNA (546 nucleotides) under uncultured bacterium. Its description in RNAcentral is "bacterial SSU rRNA". It matches the Rfam family "Bacterial small subunit ribosomal RNA", at positions 777 to 1319 of the family's 1533-position model. The record is from RNAcentral.